AUUUUUUUUUUUUUUUUUUUGGGGGUCAAAACACUGGCUGAUGUUGAGGUAAAGAUAUGUUGUAAUAAGAGAACUCUAUGUUUAUCAAAUGAAUCGAGAAAAAAAUUACACAAUGUGUUAAUAAUAAACUGACAUUGAAAAAAAAAUCAUAACAAAAGAUGCUACAUGUGAAGAAAAACGAGCUCUCAUUAGGAUAGGCUCAUAAAUACUGUAAUAGGAAUACAUUCUGAAUAGAACCAAUAAAAUGUUUAGAAACCCAAUAUGAACAAAGGAAAGAUGAUUUAGCCCAUUAAACCCAAAUAUCACUCCAACAAGC
RNAcentral lists this long non-coding RNA (316 nucleotides) under Capsella rubella. Its description in RNAcentral is "long non-coding RNA (CRUB_LNC004435)". Lineage: Eukaryota; Viridiplantae; Streptophyta; Magnoliopsida; Brassicales; Brassicaceae. The record is from RNAcentral.